RNAcentral lists this unclassified non-coding RNA (240 nucleotides) under soil metagenome. RNAcentral's name for it is "partial contains 5.8S ribosomal RNA, internal transcribed spacer 2, and large subunit ribosomal RNA". The record is from RNAcentral.
AACGCACGAGACCUGCGGACCUGCGGAGGGAUCAUUACCGAGUGCGGGCCCUCUGGGUCCACCCUCCCACCCGUGUCUACCGUCCCUUGUUGCUUCGGCGGGCCUGCCCCCCCUCCCGGGGGGGCGGCCGGGGGGCCCUCGCGCCCCCGGGCUCCGUGCCCGCCGGAGACCCCUCCACGAACCCUGUGUGAAGGUUGCCGUCUGAGUGGAUUUAUCCAAAUCGUCAAAACUUUUAACAAC